AGUCCUCUUCACACACAAAAGGAGAGAUUCUUCUUCUUUUACUUCCAGCGAAGGAAAGCGUAUUCCUCGUGACUCUUUCUUUUCAUUUCCUUUCCCUCUCCUUCCUGGGGUUUAAAUCCUAAGCUACGCGAUCCACCCACCUCGCCGGAGAUUCAGGAACGAUUCUUUGCAGGAAAAUGACGUCGGAUGGGGCAACUUCGACGAUAGCGCCUCCGAGGAGGAAGCCGUCCUGGCGAGAGCGGGAGAAUAAUAGGAGGAGGGAGAGGAGGAGAAGAGCUAUAGCUGCUAAGAUUUUUACAGGGUUAAGGGCUCAAGGGAAUUACAAUUUGCCCAAACACUGUGAUAAUAAUGAAGUAUUGAAGGCUCUUUGUAUCGAGGCUGGUUGGGUCGUUGAAGAUGAUGGCACUACUUACCGUAAGGGAUGUAAGCCACCCCCAAUUGAUAUUGUGGGCACCUCUGCAAGAAUUACUCCAUACUCUUCACAAAAUCCAAGUCCAUUGUCCUCAUCAUUUCCUAGCCCAAUUCCGUCGUACCAAGUUAGUCCCUCUUCCUCUUCAUUCCCUAGCCCAUCUCGAUUUGAAAAUAAUGCUCCUUCUAAUCUCCUUCCCUUCCUCCAAAAUGCCAUUCCCUUGUCUCUCCCUCCUCUCCGAAUCUCCAACAGUGCACCUGUAACACCACCUCUUUCAUCCCCGACUGCAAAAAAUCCGAAGCCAAUUCCCAACUGGGAGUUAAUUGCCAAAGAAUCCAUGACCUCUUUAAAUUACCCUUUUUAUGCUGUGUCUGCCCCAGCUAGCCCAACUCACCGUCAAUUUCAUGCUCCAGCAACCAUACCUGAAUGUGAUGAGUCUGAUACAUCCACUGUUGAGUCUGGUCAAUGGAUAAGCUUUCAAAAAUUCCCGCCCUCUGUGGCUGCAAUGCCAACCUCACCAACCUAUAAUCUUGUGAAACCUGUUGCUGAGCAAAUUUUGUCCAGCAAUGUGAUGAAAGAGAAUGGGAGGAGUAUGGAAUUUGAGUUUGGGAAUGGACAGGUGAAGCCAUGGGAAGGAGAGAGGAUUCAUGAGGUAGGAUUGGAUGAUCUAGAGCUCACACUCGGAAAUGGGAAGGCUCGGAGUUAGGUUGGGCUGAUACGGCCAGUUGAAAAUCAUGGUGAGGGAAUGCUGGAACCAAAGAGAAGAUGCGGUAGAUGUUCCAGAAAAAGUAUUCUUACUCUAGUUUGUGGUACUUGACGUGCAUAACGGUAUGCAUUUCUUAGUUGCUUAUUGUUCACAAAACGCCAGCAGUAGUUGCUGAAGGAACCAAACUCCUUUUGAACCUGCAAAAUGAGCAACAAGUGGAUGCCAAUUAAGUUUUUAUCUUCAAAUGAAUGGAUGCCAAUGUUCUUUUAUUGGAACAGUUCCGUACUAUGAAGACUUGUACAAGUGUAUUGCAAUGUUGAGAACCAAGGUGGUGGUGUUAAGUUCUAGGGACAGGAGGGUUCUCAAUCAAUAUGUUUCAAAUAUCUUCUAGCAUCUCUUCUUCAGUUCUUCCCCAAUAAGAAAAUAUGCAUCCAUGAAGUCCCUAAGAUUGAUGCCAGGCCUACAGAAUUACCUUAAGCAGCAGUUUAGCAUUCUCUACUAUUGCACGAAGCUUUGGUUCAGAUAGCAAAAGAUUGCCAUUCACUUUCAGCGAUAGCAGCUUCUUCUCUGUAAACUGUGCAACAGACGAUGGAUCGAAGUUGUCAAAAAGUUUCCUGACACAUGGAUCCAACAAUAAAAAUCAGGCAAAAUGCAUGCUGACAUUUUUUUAAUUGACGCUAAUAACGGAAAGUGAAAAUUGCAUACCUGAAAGUGUCCCUCAUAUGAAGAAUUGCUGGCCAGCUCAUUUCUGCUAAUGCUUGCGAAAGUACAAGCAACUCAAACAGCUUCCUAUCAUCAUGAACUGGAAUUCCCCAUUCUUCAUCAUGGAAAGACACAUAAAGUGGAUCUACAGUGAAAAUCACCAAAAAGCCAUAGAGUUAGCUACAUGGUGGAAAGACAUAUAAUCCUGCUUGAAAUUAAGAAUUUUGUAAUAAUACAAUUGAAUUCUUUUUCGUCAA
This is an RNA transcript of Manihot esculenta (cassava), 2074 nucleotides long. It is a transcript of the gene named protein BRASSINAZOLE-RESISTANT 1, with no coding region annotated. The transcript is spliced from 3 exons. Lineage: Eukaryota; Viridiplantae; Streptophyta; Magnoliopsida; Malpighiales; Euphorbiaceae. The record is from RefSeq and is a predicted model, not a curated record.